RNAcentral lists this non-coding RNA (45 nucleotides) under Schistosoma mansoni. The record is from RNAcentral. Lineage: Eukaryota; Metazoa; Platyhelminthes; Trematoda; Strigeidida; Schistosomatidae.
AUCCAUUUGACCAGUCCUAAAUAGGACGAAACGCCUGUCUUGGAU